This 568-nucleotide ribosomal RNA is filed under the name uncultured bacterium. RNAcentral's name for it is "partial 16S ribosomal RNA". It matches the Rfam family "Bacterial small subunit ribosomal RNA", at positions 355 to 913 of the family's 1533-position model. The record is from RNAcentral.
UAGGGAAUCUUCCACAAUGGGCGAAAGCCUGAUGGAGCAACGCCGCGUGAGUGAGGAAGGCUUUCGGGUCGUAAAGCUCUGUUGCCAGGGAAGAAUAAGGAUCAUUUAACUGAUGAUCCGAUGACGGUACCUGAGAAGAAAGCCCCGGCUAACUACGUGCCAGCAGCCGCGGUAAUACGUAGGGGGCAAGCGUUGUCCGGAAUUAUUGGGCGUAAAGCGCGCGCAGGCGGUUCUUUAAGUCUGGUGUCUAAGUGCGGGCUCAACCCCGUGACGCACUGGAAACUGGGGAGCUUGAGUGCAGAAGAGGAGAGCGGAAUUCCACGUGUAGCGGUGAAAUGCGUAGAGAUGUGGAGGAACACCAGUGGCGAAGGCGGCUCUCUGGACUGUAACUGACGCUGAGGCGCGAAAGCGUGGGGAGCAAACAGGAUUGAGAUCACCCUGGUAGUCCACGCCGUAAACGAUGAGUGCUAGGUGUUGGGGGUAUCAUGCCCCCGGUGCCGAAGUUAACACAUUAAGGCACUCCGCCCUGGGGGAGUACGGUCGCAAGACUGAAACUUAAAUGAAUUGA